This 244-nucleotide ribosomal RNA is filed under the name uncultured bacterium. RNAcentral describes it as "partial 16S ribosomal RNA". It matches the Rfam family "Bacterial small subunit ribosomal RNA", at positions 524 to 761 of the family's 1533-position model. The record is from RNAcentral.
UACGAAGGGGGCUAGCGUUGCUCGGAAUCACUGGGCGUAAAGCGCACGUAGGCGGCUUCUUAAGUCAGGGGUGAAAUCCAUGGACGCUCAACGUCCAGAACUGUCCUUUGAUACUGGGAGGCUCGAGUCCGGGGAGAGGUGGAGUGGAACUGCGAGUGUAGAGGUGAAAUUCGUAGAUAUUCGCAAGAACACCAGUGGCGAAGGCGGCUCACUGGCCCGGUACUGACGCUGAGGUGCGAAAGCG